UUGACGGGGCCGCACAAGCGGAGGAACAUGUGGUUAAUCGAUGAUACGCGAGGAACCUUACCUGGGCUUAAAUGUAGAGUGCAUUUUUAGAGAUAGAAAUUCCCUUCGGGGCUUUCUGCAAGGUGCUGCAUGGUUGUCGUCAGCUCGUGCCGUGAGGUGUCGGGUUAAGUCCCAUAACGAGCGCAACCCUUAUCGUUAGUUGCCAUCUGGUAAUGCAGGGGACUCUAGCGAAACUGCCACCGUAAGGUGAGAGGAAGGUGGGAUGACGUCAAAUCAGCACGGCCCUUAUGUCCAGGGCUACACACGUGUUACAAUGGUCGGUACAGAGGGCAGCUACCUGGUGACAGGAUGCUAAUCUCGAAAACCGGUCUCAGUUCGGAUCGAAGUCUGCAACUCGACUUCGUGAAGCUGGAUUCGCUAGUAAUCGCGCAUCAGCUAUGGCGCGGUGAAUACGUUCCCGGGCCUU
RNAcentral lists this ribosomal RNA (466 nucleotides) under uncultured Sphingobacteriales bacterium. RNAcentral's name for it is "bacterial SSU rRNA". It matches the Rfam family "Bacterial small subunit ribosomal RNA", at positions 910 to 1382 of the family's 1533-position model. Lineage: Bacteria; Pseudomonadati; Bacteroidota; Sphingobacteriia; Sphingobacteriales. The record is from RNAcentral.